RNAcentral lists this ribosomal RNA (429 nucleotides) under Acidobacteriota bacterium. RNAcentral describes it as "Acidobacteria bacterium partial 16S ribosomal RNA". It matches the Rfam family "Bacterial small subunit ribosomal RNA", at positions 355 to 776 of the family's 1533-position model. The record is from RNAcentral. Lineage: Bacteria; Pseudomonadati; Acidobacteriota.
UGGGGAAUAUUGGACAAUGGGCGCAAGCCUGAUCCAGCCAUGCCGCGUGUGUGAAGAAGGCCUUUUGGUUGUAAAGCACUUUAAGCGAGGAGGAGGCUACUUGGAUUAAUACUCUAGGAUAGUGGACGUUACUCGCAGAAUAAGCACCGGCUAACUCUGUGCCAGCAGCCGCGGUAAUACAGAGGGUGCGAGCGUUAAUCGGAUUUACUGGGCGUAAAGCGUGCGUAGGCGGCUUCUUAAGUCGGAUGUGAAAUCCCUGAGCUUAACUUAGGAAUUGCAUUCGAUACUGGGAAGCUAGAGUAUGGGAGAGGAUGUAGAAUUCCAGGUGUAGCGGUGAAAUGCGUAGAGAUCUGGAGGAAUACCGAUGGCGAAGGCAGCCAUCUGGCCUAAUACUGACGCUGAGGUACGAAAGCAUGGGGAGCAAACAGG